ACCAUUCUUUUCUUGGGGUAGCGCUACUGUCCAAUGAAUGAGUAGUGAGGGCAGUACUGCUAAUACCUGCACAACACGCCAGAGUAAAAAAUAAAUAAAUAA
This 102-nucleotide non-coding RNA is filed under the name Propithecus coquereli (Coquerel's sifaka). Its description in RNAcentral is "U4atac minor spliceosomal RNA (ENSPCOG00000007861.1)". It matches the Rfam family "U4atac minor spliceosomal RNA". Rfam says of the family: U4atac is an essential component of the minor U12-type spliceosome complex which is required for removal of the rarer class of eukaryotic introns (AT-AC, U12-type). These interacting stem loops have been shown to be required for in vivo splicing. Lineage: Eukaryota; Metazoa; Chordata; Mammalia; Primates; Indriidae. The record is from Rfam by way of RNAcentral.